AGUCAGAUAGUUGAUACAAAGACCUUUGAUUUUUCAAACUGAUGGAUCAAAAAGUUAUUAUAAACAGAUAUAUUGAAAUGGCUGACUCAAAAUCAUGCUGUUAAUUAGUGCCUCCUGUUGUACAUGUACUUAGGAAUCGGACACCUCCAGAAGAUGAAAGAUCUACUUUACAUCUUUUUCAACGAAAGUACAAUUACUUUGAGAAGUAGGAGAAGCUAAGCAACAGGACAGAAUUCAUUUGAGGCAUUGCUUUCUAGAUUAUAUAGUGGAGUCAUAGAUUGUCCUAUUGAUUUAUGUGGAUAUGAGGAGCAGUAGUCAAUGAAUAAUUUUGUGAUGAGAGCUGUACAUUGUAUUACAACAAAUGGACAGAGGAGUUGACUAUUGAUAGUGACUGAUAAUGGACUGGAGUAACCUAGGGUCCAAUGACUCCAUGCCUGACAGUCCAUGUGUACAUAAUUAGCUCCUCAGAUGUAAGUGGAAGGGAAGCUAUAUACAUUAUAUGUUUAAAUGAAAUUAACAACAGGAUUAGAUAUUGAGGAGAUCCUAUAGCUACAGUAUAUAUAAAUGUAACUGCAACUGUAUUCCAAGAGUCUGAUGGCUGAUAAUGUAUUACAGGAUUUUAUCAUUCAAGCAACAUCUAAGAAGGAUAAGUGCAAAUGUAUGAAGGAAGCCUUGGGUACAAAUAGCAAUUACAGCAAUUACAUGCAGGAGAGAUCUCUUAAUAUUACUAACAGACAUGUAGUCAUUAUAUGGGAGUGGUGUAUUCAAGAAAUCUAAAACACAUGGAAUUUAAUAUCGUGUAUAUUUUUUCAACCACAAGUACUCUCAGAAUAUAAUACAAUUCAAAUUCAAAUUAUUGUGCCAUCAUGACAAUUACAGUCUA
Mytilus californianus (California mussel) is the source of this 883-nucleotide long non-coding RNA. RefSeq lists it as uncharacterized. The transcript has 6 exons. Lineage: Eukaryota; Metazoa; Mollusca; Bivalvia; Mytilida; Mytilidae. The record is from RefSeq and is a predicted model, not a curated record.